RNAcentral lists this ribosomal RNA (454 nucleotides) under Pantoea agglomerans. RNAcentral's name for it is "bacterial SSU rRNA". It matches the Rfam family "Bacterial small subunit ribosomal RNA", at positions 852 to 1306 of the family's 1533-position model. Lineage: Bacteria; Pseudomonadati; Pseudomonadota; Gammaproteobacteria; Enterobacterales; Erwiniaceae. The record is from RNAcentral.
CUAACGCGUUAAGUCGACCGCCUGGGGAGUACGGCCGCAAGGUUAAAACUCAAAUGAAUUGACGGGGGCCCGCACAAGCGGUGGAGCAUGUGGUUUAAUUCGAUGCAACGCGAAGAACCUUACCUACUCUUGACAUCCAGCGAACUUUCCAGAGAUGGAUUGGUGCCUUCGGGAACGCUGAGACAGGUGCUGCAUGGCUGUCGUCAGCUCGUGUUGUGAAAUGUUGGGUUAAGUCCCGCAACGAGCGCAACCCUUAUCCUUUGUUGCCAGCGAUUCGGUCGGGAACUCAAAGGAGACUGCCGGUGAUAAACCGGAGGAAGGUGGGGAUGACGUCAAGUCAUCAUGGCCCUUACGAGUAGGGCUACACACGUGCUACAAUGGCGCAUACAAAGAGAAGCGACCUCGCGAGAGCAAGCGGACCUCACAAAGUGCGUCGUAGUCCGGAUCGGAGUCU